This 76-nucleotide transfer RNA is filed under the name Acholeplasma laidlawii. Its description in RNAcentral is "tRNA-Ala". It matches the Rfam family "tRNA". From Rfam's summary of the family: Transfer RNA (tRNA) molecules are approximately 80 nucleotides in length. Their secondary structure includes four short double-helical elements and three loops (D, anti-codon, and T loops). Lineage: Bacteria; Bacillati; Mycoplasmatota; Mollicutes; Acholeplasmatales; Acholeplasmataceae. The record is from RNAcentral.
GGGGCUUUAGCUCAGCUGGGAGAGCGCCUGCCUUGCACGCAGGAGGUCAGCGGUUCAAUCCCGCUAAGCUCCACCA